CAGCCGCCACGGUAAAACGAAGGGUGCAAGCGUUACUCGGAAUUACUGGGCGUAAAGCGUGCGUAGGUGGUGGUUUAAGUCCGUUGUGAAAGCCCUGGGCUCAACCUGGGAAUUGCAGUGGAUACUGGGUCACUAGAGUGUGGUAGAGGAUAGUGGAAUUUCCGGUGUAGCAGUGAAAUGCGUAGAGAUCGGAAGGAACAUCUGUGGCGAAGGCGACUAUCUGGGCCAACACUGACACUGAGGCACGAAAGCGUGGGGAGCAAACAGGAUUAGAUACCCCAGUAGUCCCUGUCUCUUAUAC
This 301-nucleotide ribosomal RNA is filed under the name uncultured bacterium. RNAcentral describes it as "partial 16S ribosomal RNA". It matches the Rfam family "Bacterial small subunit ribosomal RNA", at positions 509 to 807 of the family's 1533-position model. The record is from RNAcentral.